Molecule: ribosomal RNA, 570 nt
Filed under: uncultured bacterium
Lineage: Bacteria
Description: bacterial SSU rRNA
Rfam family: Bacterial small subunit ribosomal RNA
Source: RNAcentral
ACGGGUGCGUAACACGUGGAUAACAUACCGGAAAGCGAGGAAUAGCCCAGGGAAACUUGGAUUAAUACCUCAUGUGGUCGCAAGACUAAAGGCGGGGCAACCUGUCGCUUUCUGAUUGGUCCGCGGCCUAUCAGCUAGUUGGCGGGGUAACGGCCCACCAAGGCGACGACGGGUAGCUGGUCUGAGAGGAUGACCAGCCACACUGGAACUGAGACACGGUCCAGACACCUACGGGUGGCAGCAGUCGAGAAUCAUUCACAAUGGGGGAAACCCUGAUGGUGCGACGCCGCGUGGAGGAUAAGGUCUUCGGAUUGUAAACUCCUGUCAUGCGAGAGCAAGAUUUGUGCAGGUAACUCUGCUGAAUUUGAUAGUAUCGCAAGAGGAAGAGACGGCUAACUCUGUGCCAGCAGCCGCGGUAAUACAGAGGUCUCAAGCGUUGUUCGGAAUCACUGGGCGUAAAGGGUGCGUAGGUGGCGUGGAAAGUCAGAUGUGAAAUCCGGGGGCUCAACCUCCGAAUAGCAUCCGAUACUCCCAUGCUAGAGAACUGGAGGGGGAUCUGGAAUUCUCGGU